This is a long non-coding RNA of Chelonia mydas (Green sea turtle), 1458 nucleotides long. RefSeq lists it as uncharacterized. The transcript has 4 exons. The record is from RefSeq and is a predicted model, not a curated record. Lineage: Eukaryota; Metazoa; Chordata; Testudines; Cheloniidae.
UUCACACACAAACUGAAUAAAGGAGUAACUGACUUACUAAUGAGUGUGCUUGUUCUGAGUGAAAGCUGUUAUGAACUUGUGACCACAAAAAACCCCCUGGGUGGAGCUUGAAGGACUGAUCACCACCUUGAGCCCUGGUUGCAGCUGGGGUGAUCUCUGGGAGACAUCAUGUUUCACCGGUGUGCUGAUUUUCUGAACUACUGACUGUAAUUUGACCCACACGGCAGUGACAAAAGCUUCAUGCGGGAAGUAGAAGCAUUCUGAAUGCUGUGAUAUCCCUGGAGACUGAGUCUUUAAUUUGAAUCUGGAUGAUAGCAUGAGAACGGGAGGAAUCUGAGUUGACUCCAGUCGCCCCAGUGCUACGCUCCUUCCCACCCUUCAAAAUUACCUGGAAAACAAACAGGACAAAACAAAGGCUGAUGACCUCAGCAGAAAAGACUCCAUUCCACAGCUGAUACUCAACAACUGCUUAAAACAGCAGCUGAAUGGAGAUGGGAAAUGUCUAAUAUUCAACCACAUGCUAAUGAAAAAUAAUCUGUGGGUUAUAUUAGGGUGCUGAUUAUUUGAAAAUUGCGCCUUGGCUCCUCUUGCGGGCAAAGCUUCCAAGUGGUUAAGAAUGUUUGCUUCAUUUUGUAACUACCUAAAGGCAAGGUGCUGUAUGUCUGCAGUUACUCUUUCACUCUGUGUACAUGUUUACUGAGUUCAGUUUCAUAGCAACCAGCUUUCUCUGUAUUUAUAGUUUCCCCAACUCAAGAGCCCCCACAUUUCACUGAUUGCUUAGAUUUUCUAGUUCAGUGGAGAAGAAAAAAAAUCCAGAAUCAAUUUAGGCUCUGUCAUGGAGACGCUCUUGGUCGGACAAUUAUGAGCAGUUCAUCUCAUUGCACAGUGCGCUUACAGAGUGAAUGGGAAAGAGGGCAUAUGGUGUUCAGAGAGGUACAUGAACGUGACCAGGUCGCUAUUGCUAGUGCACACAAAGAGAAAGUACCAGACACUCAGACAUGGUGGGGGCCACAAAGGUAGACAGAUUGGGUAUGUCAGAGAACUCCUUCAGAGUAUGUGAGAAGAAGCAUAAUUGUUAUAAAUAUGUUGUCUAACUUAACAGCAUCUAUUUCAAACAUCUAGUAGGCCUUUUCCCUCAGCAGGCUGCAUCUCAGUGAUUCCUGGGUGUGUGUCAGCAUAUCCAUGUGCCAGACGCUUUGAGACAAAAAGCCUUUUAUCUCUACUAUUAUUCUUAAUAAUUUUAUAUUAUUGUGGCUCCUCACAGCCUGUCAUGGACCAGGAUCCCAUUGUGCCAGGCACUGCAUAAACAGAAGAAAGAGACAGUCCCUGCCCCAAAGAGCUUACAAUCUAAAUAAACAUCCUGUCAUAAUGAGCUGAAUAUAAAUCUGAGCAGGCAAAUGGCCACGCUAGGUGUCAUGUUCACAACUUGGAAGGAAUCCAUGGGCCUGACCUCAUUUG